RNAcentral lists this ribosomal RNA (258 nucleotides) under uncultured bacterium. Its description in RNAcentral is "partial 16S ribosomal RNA". It matches the Rfam family "Bacterial small subunit ribosomal RNA", at positions 96 to 354 of the family's 1533-position model. The record is from RNAcentral.
UGGCGGACGGGUGAGUAACGCGUGGGUAACCUGCCCUAUACAGGGGGAUAACAGUUAGAAAUGACUGCUAAUACCGCAUAAGCGCACAGGACCGCAUGGUUCGGUGUGAAAAACUGAGGUGGUAUAGGAUGGACCCGCGUCUGAUUAGCUUGUUGGUGGGGUAACGGCUCACCAAGGCGACGAUCAGUAGCCGGCCUGAGAGGGCGACCGGCCACAUUGGGACUGAGACACGGCCCAAACUCCUACGGAAGGCAGCAG